RNAcentral lists this ribosomal RNA (232 nucleotides) under Cyclophora tenuis. RNAcentral's name for it is "partial Bacterial small subunit ribosomal RNA". It matches the Rfam family "Bacterial small subunit ribosomal RNA", at positions 546 to 777 of the family's 1533-position model. Lineage: Eukaryota; Bacillariophyta; Fragilariophyceae; Cyclophorales; Cyclophoraceae. The record is from RNAcentral.
CGGAAUAACUGGGCGUAAAGGGCACGCAGGCGGUGACUUAAGUGAGGUGUGAAAGCCCCGGGCUUAACCUGGGAAUUGCAUUUCAUACUGGGUCGCUAGAGUACUUUAGGGAGGGGUAGAAUUCCACGUGUAGCGGUGAAAUGCGUAGAUAUGUGGAGGAAUACCGGUGGCGAAGGCGGCCUCCUGGCUCGAUACUGACGCUGAGGUGCGAAAGCGUGGGGAGCAAACAGGA